ACGCUCGACACCUACGGAGGCAGCAGUGGGGAAUAUUGCACAAUGGGGGAAACCCUGAUGCAGCGACGCCGCGUGGAGGAAGAAGGUCUUCGGAUUGUAAACUCCUGUUGUUGGGGAAAAAGAGGAUGGUACCCAACAAGGAAGUGACGGCUAACUACGUGUCAGCAGCCGCAGUAAUCUGAGCGGGCUGGCAAGGC
Molecule: ribosomal RNA, 197 nt
Filed under: uncultured bacterium
Lineage: Bacteria
Description: partial 16S ribosomal RNA
Rfam family: Bacterial small subunit ribosomal RNA
Source: RNAcentral